AGCGAGAUUAUGUAAUUGGUUAACAUACUAGCCUCAUGAGCUAGAAAUCUUGGUUCAAAUCCAGGUCUCGCUA
This 73-nucleotide transfer RNA is filed under the name Stropharia rugosoannulata. RNAcentral's name for it is "tRNA-Met". It matches the Rfam family "tRNA". From Rfam's summary of the family: Transfer RNA (tRNA) molecules are approximately 80 nucleotides in length. Their secondary structure includes four short double-helical elements and three loops (D, anti-codon, and T loops). Lineage: Eukaryota; Fungi; Basidiomycota; Agaricomycetes; Agaricales; Strophariaceae. The record is from RNAcentral.